This 550-nucleotide ribosomal RNA is filed under the name uncultured Funneliformis. Its description in RNAcentral is "SSU rRNA". It matches the Rfam family "Eukaryotic small subunit ribosomal RNA", at positions 548 to 1098 of the family's 1831-position model. Lineage: Eukaryota; Fungi; Glomeromycota; Glomeromycetes; Glomerales; Glomeraceae. The record is from RNAcentral.
UUGGAGGGCAAGUCUGGUGCCAGCAGCUGCGGUAAUUCCAGCUCCAAUAGCGUAUAUUAAAGUUGUUGCAGUUAAAAAGCUCGUAGUUGAAUUUCGGGAUCAAUGUUUCGGUCAUGCCGUUGGUAUGUACUGAUAUUAUUGAUUUCUCACCUUCUAAAGAACCGUAAUGCCAUUAAUUUGGUGUCACGGGGAAUUAGGACUGUUACCUUGAAAAAAUUAGAGUGUUUAAAGCAGGCUCACGCUUGAAUACAUUAGCAUGGAAUAAUGAAAUAGGACAUCCGAUUCUAUUUUGUUGGUUUCUAGGAUCGAUGUAAUGAUUAAUAGGGAUAGUUGGGGGCAUUAGUAUUCAAUUGUCAGAGGUGAAAUUCUUGGAUUUAUUGAAGACUAACUACUGCGAAAGCAUUUGCCAAGGAUGUUUUCAUUAAUCAAGAACGAAAGUUAGGGGAUCGAAGACGAUCAGAUACCGUCGUAGUCUUAACCAUAAACUAUGCCGACUAGGGAUCGGAUGAUGUUAAUUUUUUAAUGACUCAUUCGGCGCCUUACGGGAAAC